This is a non-coding RNA of Manis javanica (Malayan pangolin), 3537 nucleotides long. The record is from RefSeq and is a predicted model, not a curated record. NCBI's taxonomy places the organism in Eukaryota, Metazoa, Chordata, Mammalia, Pholidota, Manidae.
AGCAAGGGAGUGACAUGGGCUGCUCCUUGGUUUUAAAAGACUUCUCUGGCUGAGUGGGCAGAGGGAGUUUCUGGGUGGUGGGAGGGAGGCUUCUGCACCAAUACAGAUAAGCAACAAUGGUGGUAGAAGGAGGUGGAGGCAGAAGGGAGGACUCAGAGGCCCCUCUGAGCUUCAGGGGGCCCAGCAGGAAGUUGGUGGUCAGGAGGCCCAGCAGGAAGCCUACGACCCCCGUGCCCACCCCCACACUGUGCAGGCCUGUGGCCACCGCAGGGCUGGGAAACGUGCCUGGAAUGUCAGCCACCAGGCCCAAGUGGGACUGUGCCUGUGGGACCCGCCUGGCCAGGGCAAGCACCCUGGCCACAGCCCUGCCCACACAUGGAAUCCCUCGGGCCCACUGAACUGGGAACCCGGAUGCAGCCUCGGAACCCUGCUCAACACAGCUCUGCAGCCACUGCCAAUCCAAGCACCCGAGGUCUGAAUGAGAAAACUGAGGCCCAGAGAGGAGUAGACAGGAAGUAAGUGAACCAGAACUCCAAGCCAGUUCUCUCAAGAGGCAUCCCUGUGCCCCUGUCUCCAGGCAGGGGUCCAUCCAAGAGGUGGUUGGAAGGCUCCAGAAGGACACUGCCCGCAGCAGAGAAUUAUCUCGUUCAAACUGCCAGUUGCGUCACAGAUGAGAAACCCUGCAGAAGAGUAAGGGGUGAGCCCCAAAUCUCUGGACAACUGCCCCACGUCUUCUCACUGACCCCAAGGGCAGCUGAUGCUAUUUUGGAGGAAACAACAAAGGGGAAACAUAUGGCAAGACACCCAUUUCUCAGAAAGUCUGGGUUGGAAGUCAGGAGACCUGGGUUCAAGUCCCACAUCUGCCUCUGACUCACAGUGUCACCUUUGGCCACUCACUUCCCCUUGUCUGGCCCUCAGGUUCCCCAUCCGGGGGUGAGGGGGUUGGACCAGCUGAUGUCCCAAGCCUUCCCCAGUUGACAAGAUGCUGUUGAAAUCAGGGCUAGGGAUAUUAUGCCCCCUUCCCAGCCCACCUCACUGUCCUAAAAGCACUAAAGUCCUGAGAGGGCGGCCACAUUCCCAGCUAAUAAACUCACAUGCCGUCUAACACGCGGCUUUGGCACCUCACGCUGCAAUGACCUGUUACCUGUGUUUCUCAAAGUGAGACUGUGGGGCAAGGUGUGCGGGCACCCUGCUUUGAGCUGCCUGAGCCAAAGUGCCCAAGCUCUGGGCUGGAAGUGAAUCACCAUGAGUUUGCACUUUGUAUAUUGUAGUCAUUCAUAACAUUGGUCUUUGUUUAUAAUAAUCACCAUGGGAAUGAAAUUAAAAUUCCUCACACCUUCCUUAGAGGCCCUGCAGGACCCGACCCUCUCACUUGCUCUGUUUCAGCCACAAUGGCUGCCCCACUAUUCUCUGGACCCACUUAACUUAUUCCUACCUCAGGGCCUUUGCCCUGGCUAUUCCUUCACCUUUGGCACCCCUCUUUAAGGUCACAGCUGCUUCUCAGGGAGGCCCUCUCUGGUCCCCCUAGUUAAGAAGGUCCUGGUCACUCUCUAUCACACCUCCAUACUUUAUCUCCUCUAAGCCUUUACCAUGGUCUGAAAUGAUGCUGUUUGCUUACUAUCUAUCUGUCCAAAAACAGGGGUUUUGUCUGCUUUGUUCUGUGAUGUGACCCCAACACUCUGCGAGGGCCUGACACAUAGUAGGGUCUCAUAGUAGAGGCACAGUGAAUCAGUGAAUAAGACUAGAAUCAUAGAAAUCCUCAGCUGUGGCCCUAGUCUUGAACUGGAGCAUCUGGCAUUUAUUGAGCACUUACUGUGUGUUGACCACUAUGCUACAGCUUCAUCCCUGGGGUGGGUGGUUUCAUGGUCUCCAUUUUGCAGAUAAGACUAAAGCUCCAGGCUUCAGAGCCUCAGAGGAUAGCGUGCCUUGAACCCAGUCUGAGAACUCCAGGGUUUGGGCUACUUCCACCUACCCGGUUAUGCAGUGAGAGAGACACUGGGAGGGGAACCGGGCUUCCCCCCCACACACUCCUUUUAUCUAAGACAGAGCCUCCUGAGCACCACCCUGUCCCCACCGCCUGGUGGAGCAACUGGGGCCAGGAUGGGAGCUGGGUGUGUGGACAGCCUGGCCUUAUGCCAGUCAGUGCCAGGAACUGGCUUGGGGAGCAAAAAGUCUGGAUCCAGCCUGGUGGGGGGUGAUGCAGGCCACUUGUCCCAAAUGGGCUCCUGGUGUUCUGUGGGGCAUAGAGGGUGGCAGCAGGCACAGGGUACCUCUGGGAGCCCCAAGGUUCAGGCCCCUGCCUGCCUUCCCCUGGAGGUAGAGCAAACCCUAGGGUCCUGGUCUAGCCCUUGCUCAGUUUCAUGAUCUCAGCCUGGCACAGUUCAAGUCAUUCCACAAGCCUUCUCCAAGCAGCCCAGACCCAGAGCUGGGUGAUGCCAAGCAUAGAACAAACUCUGGCUCCCAAAGUCUGCCCUUGAGGGGCCGCCAGGGUGGGCAGGGAAGUAGCAGGUAAACAAUAACCAAAAGUCAGCCUGUAAGUCCUCAGUGCAGAUCCCUCCUUAAACACUUGAUGGCUGUGUGUCCUUGGGCAAAUCUCUUAACUUCUCUGGGCCCCAUCUGCUUCCCUGGAGAUAAUUGUGCCUCCUACUCCAGGAGAGAUCCCAGCGCAGGAGCUGGCAGAUGGGCAGGGCUGCUGAUUCAAGUGGAAGCUUUCCAAAUUCAAGAUCUACUCUGGAAACAGGAAGGAAGGAGAAGACGGGGCAGCACAGGUUUCCCCUCCAGCUGGGGAAGCUCCCCAGUCCCCCUCCUACACCCAGAGGAGGCACCUGCCUAACUGGGACUGGAACACCGUGGGAGUUUGGCACAGAAAAGCAGAGGGAAGGGCACUCCAGGCAGAAGGCACAGCCCGGGCAAAGGGUGGGUGUUUUGCUGGUAAGCCUCCUUCUGCCCUUGGGUCUCAGUUCAAAUGUCACCUCCUCAUAGGGGCCCUCAUGCUCACCCCCUGUCCUCCUUCUAAGCAUCAGGCCUAUUUUCCUCCUUGAACGAAUGACAAUCUUUCUCAUUUGUUUAUUAUUUGUCUCCCUUGCCAAGCUCCCCCAGUGCAGGGACAAUGCCUGUCCUGUUCAAUGCUCUGUCCCAGAGUCUAGCACAGCACCUGGCAUGCAACAGAUGCCUAGCAACACAAUGCCCACAAUUUGAACAAGCUACUCUCCCAUUCUGUGCUUCAGUUUCCUCAUCUGGGAAAGCAUCACAAUUAACACCCACCUCUUAGGGUUGUUGCAAAAAUUAAAUGAGCCAAUGUUUGUAGAGCCCUAGAACAGUUCCUGGCCCACAGUAGGUGCCCUGCAGAAACGUAAAUAAAACACACAUGAACACAUUACAGAGAAUUACAGAUGCAUAGAUUAGAAAGUCAUAAUAUUGUUGGUCACCGAGUUGUACAAUCUAUUACACUGUGGUUUAUGUUUACAUUUCAUUUUCUAUUUUACUUUUUCCUGACUUUUUAUUUUGACAAAUUUUAAUCCAUAGGAAGUUAAAAAA